GCCGGCGCGGUGGCGCUCGCCUGUAGUCCCAGCUACUCGGGAGGCUGAGGCAGGAGGAUCGCUUGAGCCCAGGAGUUCUGGGCUGUAGUGCGCUAUGCCGAUCGGUGUCCGCACUAAGUUCGGCAUCAAUAUGGUGACCUCCCGGGAGCGGGGGACCACCAGGUUGCCUAAGGAGGGGUGAACCGGCCCAGGUCGGAAACGGAGCAGGUCAAAACUCCCGUGCUGAUCAGUAGUGGGAUCGCGCCUGUGAAUAGCCACUGCACUCCAGCCUGGGCAACAUAGCGAGACCCCGUCU
RNAcentral lists this signal recognition particle RNA (295 nucleotides) under Mustela putorius furo (domestic ferret). RNAcentral's name for it is "Metazoan signal recognition particle RNA (ENSMPUG00000022001.1)". It matches the Rfam family "Metazoan signal recognition particle RNA". Rfam says of the family: The signal recognition particle (SRP) is a universally conserved ribonucleoprotein. It is involved in the co-translational targeting of proteins to membranes. The record is from RNAcentral. Lineage: Eukaryota; Metazoa; Chordata; Mammalia; Carnivora; Mustelidae.